RNAcentral lists this ribosomal RNA (400 nucleotides) under uncultured bacterium. RNAcentral describes it as "bacterial SSU rRNA". It matches the Rfam family "Bacterial small subunit ribosomal RNA", at positions 355 to 769 of the family's 1533-position model. The record is from RNAcentral.
UGGGGAAUAUUGCACAAUGGAGGGAACUCUGAUGCAGCGACGCCGCGUGAGUGAAGAAGUAUUUCGGUAUGUAAAGCUCUAUCAGCAGGGAAGAAAGAAAUGACGGUACCUGACUAAGAAGCCCCGGCUAACUACGUGCCAGCAGCCGCGGUAAUACGUAGGGGGCAAGCGUUAUCCGGAUUUACUGGGUGUAAAGGGAGCGUAGACGGCGAUGCAAGUCAGAUGUGAAAACCCAUGGCUUAACCAUGGGAUUGCAUUUGAAACUGUGUUGCUAGAGUGCAGGAGAGGUAAGCGGAAUUCCUGGUGUAGCGGUGAAAUGCGUAGAUAUCAGGAGGAACACCAGUGGCGAAGGCGGCUUACUAGACUGUAACUGACGUUGAGGCUCGAAGGCGUGGGUAGC